GCAAAUACCAUUCCAACACAAGGUGGCCCUACUUCAUCUCCGUUCAACCCUCCUGCACCAUGCUCCUCUCUUUGCCAUUCUCAACCCUGUUAUUACAACAAGAAUCUAUUGCAUCUCUGUCAAAUGGGACUUUAAGGUUAGAGUUACUUUCCAUCUCCUGAAAGAAAGUUCAAAAUAAACAAACAAUAUAAAAUAGGCUCAGGUCCUAAACUUAGGGAUGAAUAAAUUAUGCGCAAAAUGCUAUGGCAAAAGCUCGCAAAGAUUAUUCAAAUAUUAAACUUUGCAGGCUAAUAAGAAGCAUCAGUAAGGAAGACAUGAAAAGCAAUUUCCGCACUUAUCCAACAAACUAUUCUUUGAGCUCGUGGCCCAGUCCUGCUUUAAGCAAGGAACUCAAACUUCCAAAAUUUGUGGAAACUGGAAAUUACAGACAGCUCUAAUUUCCAUAACAUUGUCUUCAAAUCCGAUAUUCCAAAUUUCUUAAUAUUUCACAAUAGUUUGUGCAGUCUCAUCAAAUUUGUUGUCAUCAAGUCAUCAGCAAUUUCUAGCACCAAAAUAGAAAGGAUACUUCUACAACCAUUCUCAACUACUACACUCAAGGAUAGUUACCUCUUUUUGGUUGCCGGCACAAUGAGGGAACUAAACUAUGAACCUGAAUUAAAAAUCCGAUAUCAAUUUCACUUAUCCGUGACUCCGGAGAAGGGAAAUGAGUAAAGCAAAAUCCUCCAACUAACUUAAAAUGCAACCGAACCCGGAAUACGAUAUAUAUACAAAUAUCAACCUACUUGAGUACUUUACAAGGGGGAAAAAUAAGUGUAAUCCAGUUACCGUAUUUUCUCGGGAAACAAACAGAAAUAUAAAUGAAAGUAAGGCCAUCAUGAUACGGAUUGUUAUAAUUCCAAUAACAAAAGUGAAGAUGAUCAACGGAGAGCGAAGUAAGAAGAAGACCUUAAGCGUCAAAGUCCGAAGAACGUCCCUGAUUGAUGGAGGAAUUGGUAACGUUCAAGAGGAGUGCAGUAUUUGGGCCGACUUCUUUAUUCCGAGCUCUGAGUACCAGCAUACUUUAGUGGGUGAUUAGUUGUCAUGUUUGAUCCUUUUUGUUUCUUUCGAAAAUAAAUAAAUAAAUAAAAAUU
This 1130-nucleotide long non-coding RNA is filed under the name Carica papaya (papaya). RNAcentral describes it as "long non-coding RNA (CPAP_LNC014159)". Lineage: Eukaryota; Viridiplantae; Streptophyta; Magnoliopsida; Brassicales; Caricaceae. The record is from RNAcentral.